GGGCCCGCACAAGCGGUGGAGCAUGUGGUUCAAUUCGACGCAACGCGAAGAACCUUACCCAGGCUUGAACAGCGAGUGACCAUUCCCGAAAGGGAACUUCCGCAAGGACACUCGUAGAGGUGCUGCAUGGCUGUCGUCAGCUCGUGUCGUGAGAUGUUGGGUUAAGUCCCGCAACGAGCGCAACCCUUGUCUGCUGUUGCCAUCACGUUAUGGUGGGCACUCUGCAGAGACUGCCGGUGAUAAACCGGAGGAAGGUGGGGAUGACGUCAAGUCAGCAUGGCCUUUAUGUCUGGGGCUACACACGUGCUACAAUGGCCGAUACAAACCGUCGCAAAACCGCAAGGUGGAGCUAAUCGGAGAAAGUCGGUCUCAGUUCGGAUAGCAGGCUGCAACUCGCCUGCUUGAAGUUGGAAUCGCUAGUAAUCGCGGAUCAGCACGCCGCGGUGAAUACGUUCCCGGGCCUU
Molecule: ribosomal RNA, 464 nt
Filed under: uncultured bacterium
Lineage: Bacteria
Description: bacterial SSU rRNA
Rfam family: Bacterial small subunit ribosomal RNA
Source: RNAcentral